GAUGAACGCUAGCGGCAGGCCUAAUACAUGCAAGUCGGACGGGAUCCAUCGGAGAGCUUGCUCGAAGAUGGUGAGAGUGGCGCACGGGUGCGUAACGCGUGAGCAACCUACCUCUAUCAGGGGGAUAGCCUCUCGAAAGAGAGAUUAACACCGCAUAACAUAUCUGACCGGCAUCGGUUAGCUAUUAAAUAUUUAUAGGAUAGAGAUGGGCUCGCGUGACAUUAGCUAGUUGGUAGGGUAACGGCUUACCAAGGCGACGAUGUCUAGGGGCUCUGAGAGGAGAAUCCCCCACACUGGUACUGAGACACGGACCAGACUCCUACGGGAGGCAGCAGUAAGGAAUAUUGGUCAAUGGGCGGAAGCCUGAACCAGCCAUGCCGCGUGCAGGAUGACUGCCCUAUGGGUUGUAAACUGCUUUUGUCCAGGAAUAAACCUAGAUACGUGUAUCUAGCUGAAUGUACUGGAAGAAUAAGGAUCGGCUAACUCCGUGC
This 491-nucleotide ribosomal RNA is filed under the name uncultured bacterium. RNAcentral's name for it is "bacterial SSU rRNA". It matches the Rfam family "Bacterial small subunit ribosomal RNA", at positions 28 to 508 of the family's 1533-position model. The record is from RNAcentral.